AGGAUCAUCAUGAGGAUGGUGAUCAGUCUGGAUAGACUGACACACAGAUCACUUCUUUUGGGAUAGAUGGAUCUCUAGUCUAUAGUGUAGAGACAUUGGGCGACGAGUGCGGUAGUGGUUAGAGAACAACUAGUAUUGAGCGUGACCAUAUGAGAGAUCACUUGAAUUUCUAUUCGAUCGUCAAUGAUUGUCUUGAUGCUGUAAUUGUGUGACUGAU
RNAcentral lists this long non-coding RNA (217 nucleotides) under Elaeis guineensis (African oil palm). RNAcentral describes it as "long non-coding RNA (EGUI_LNC072823)". Lineage: Eukaryota; Viridiplantae; Streptophyta; Magnoliopsida; Arecales; Arecaceae. The record is from RNAcentral.